Molecule: ribosomal RNA, 489 nt
Filed under: Triticum aestivum (bread wheat)
Lineage: Eukaryota; Viridiplantae; Streptophyta; Magnoliopsida; Poales; Poaceae
Description: partial small subunit ribosomal RNA
Source: RNAcentral
AUGUGCUUUGACGUCUCGGUGUGCAAGUUGAUUUUGUUGCCGUUUUGUACAACCGGUCGCUUCAUCCUCUUCCUGUUCGACCUAUUGGAUAGAACAAUCACUAUACUCGACCCUCUUGCCCUAUCGGAUGCAUGGAAAAAGAAUCCUUCACAGAAGGACAUAUUUAAGAUUCAAUGUAUUUCAUUCCAUCUAAACAUAGCAUUACAAGAUGCAAUUCCUGGCUGGAAUGAUGAUGUUUUUAGAUGGCGUCGCAUCAUAUCAAUUGGAGUUCCAAAAAACCCAAACAGCAAUAUGUCUGGGUUUUUAGUUUUAAAGAUUAUGCGCACGUGGCAUGAUCAUGAACAUGGAUUACCUGUUGUCCCGGACGAUUAUGACCUACAGAAUCAGGUGUUGGUACACUUGCUGUCGUACAAGGACAAUGAAUGCGUAGAAAAUAUUCCACAAGUCGUGCGUGAUUUGGUGAAGAGAAUUGGGAUAAACUUUUUUUAG